Molecule: ribosomal RNA, 500 nt
Filed under: uncultured bacterium
Lineage: Bacteria
Description: partial 16S ribosomal RNA
Rfam family: Bacterial small subunit ribosomal RNA
Source: RNAcentral
AUUGAACGCUGGCGGAAUGCUUUACACAUGCAAGUCGAACGGCAGCACGGACUUCGGUCUGGUGGCGAGUGGCGAACGGGUGAGUAACAUAUCGGAACGUAUCCAAUAAUGGGGGAUAACUAAUCGAAAGGUUGGCUAAUACCGCAUACGCCCUACGGGGGAAAGCAGGGGAUCUUCGGACCUUGCGUUAAUGGAGCGGCUGAUAUCUGAUUAGCUAGUUGGUGAGGUAAAGGCUCACCAAGGCGACGAUGAGUAGCUGGUCUGAGAUGACGACCAGCCACACUGGAACUGAGUCACGGGCCAGACUCCUACGGGAGGCAGCAGUGGGGAAUUUUGGACAAUGGGCGCAAGCCUGAUCCAGCCAUUCCGCGUGAGUGAAGAAGGCCUUCGGGUUGUAAAGCUCUUUCGCAAGGGAAGAAAACUUACUUUCUAAUAAAGAGUGAGGUUGACGGUACCUUGAUAAGAAGCACCGGCUAACUACGUGCCAGCCGCCGCAGUAA